UACAUGUGGGGCAAGCGUUGUUCGGAAUCACUGGGCAUAAAGGGUGCGUAGGUGGUCUGGUAAGUCAGUGGUGAAAUCUGGCGGCCCAACCGUCAAAUUGCCAUUGAUACUGCUGGACUUGAGUGCGUGAGGGGUGACUGGAACGCGUGGUGUAGCGGUGAAAUGCGUAGAUAUCACGCGGAAGGCCAACGGCGAAGGCAAGUCACUGGUACGCAACUGACACUGAGGCACGAAAGCGUGGGGAGCAAACAGG
Molecule: ribosomal RNA, 253 nt
Filed under: uncultured bacterium
Lineage: Bacteria
Description: partial 16S ribosomal RNA
Rfam family: Bacterial small subunit ribosomal RNA
Source: RNAcentral